CUCUCUCUCUCUCUCUCUCUCUCUCUCUCUCUGAAAUUUUUUUGAGUGCAAGCGUUUGAAUCUGUGAACAAAAGAGAAGAUGAAUGAGAGUGCCAUGGCGGUCUCAAUUUCUGCCCUAAACCUUACUGAAUCGGUCUUUUUAAUCCCUCCGUAAACGCCCAAAUCAGACCUUCAAGAUGGGUUGUUGUUUUGGAUUCUUAUAGAUGAAUUGUUGCUUUGGAUUCUUAUAAUGUCAAAAUAGUUUGUUGUUGUUUUGGAUUUGGAUUCUUAUAACAAAUGAUUUGUUUUUUUUUCAUGCCUUCAAACUGUUUGAUAAAAUGUCUCUUAGGCUUUUCAAAAUUCUAAGCCACAAGCCUAACUUCUUGGCAGUGUAAUUGGUGCUCAAACAUGUACUAAACCAAGCCCACAACAGCUCCAAAUCUUAAUCUGUUGAAGCCACUGCCUGCAUAUUCAAAUCUUGAUCUGUUAAAUCAUAAAUCAUUCAUAGUGUUUUCAAUUAGCUACUUCUCUAAUUUUCCCUCAUUUAGUCUUACUAUAUCAGUUAUAAUAAAUAUUGUGCUAUUCAUCUUAAAUUAACUGUCAUAGCUAAUUGAUAAACUCACCGUGUUAGUCACUUUAUUAAGUAUUUGAUAUCUUGAGCUAAAUUUUCCAUUACUUUCUCUGACUUGAUUUAGUUGAAACCAGUGCUUAUUUCUUUCUAUAACUCACAAACUGUUUAGUCAAUAUUCAUUCAUUGCAUUUUGAGUUAGCUCAUCACUAAUAGUUGUUUUGCAGCCAUAAUUUCUGCAAAUAUAAAGCUUGUGUAUUUGAAAAUGAGUUUAGUUCAGGAUCUUCUGACGGACCCUGAAACUUUUGAAAGUAAAGUAGUGUGAAGUUUUGUGAGAGUCAAAUCUGAUCCAAAUGACUACUUCUAACAAAAUUCUUACCAACUUCUGCAAGUUAUAGGUACUUUUUUUGUUGCAUAUAAAUGCAUGUGUGUUUAAAAAUUUGUGUUCAUGAGUUCUACUCUUUGAGCACAAAGUUUAUACGUGUGAUCCAUUAGUGGUUAAUGAAGCCAGAUUUGAAAAUGGAAUUGAUUUACAUGAUUUUUGUAAUUGUGUGGUCCUUGGUGGCAUGGUUAUGUUAAUCGAUGAAAUUUUAUUCAGUAUUGAGAUUUAUAUUUUCUAUAUUAGUUCAAUACAAUGAUAGCAAAAGGUGAUGUAAAGAAAAUAAUAAAUGGAACACAUCAUGAAUGAUGAUUAACAUUCAAUGAGAAUUUUAGUGAUUUUGCAGAAGAAUAUUUGUGGUCUAUUUGUCGGAUUCAUUAGCAACUAGUGAUGCAAGGUAGGACUAAUAUUAGUUUUAUAAUUUUUUGCUAGGAAUUGCAAUAUUAAUUGACAAUAUGAAUCAAAACAAUGAGCUUCAUCAUGUCUAGUGGUUAUAGAGAUAUGACCUUAUGUUAGAUAGUAUUUGAGAUCUUAUUAUUCAGAUUACUACUGCUUUUGUUUCUUGAGGUUAACUAAUUUAGCUGUUACCUUUAUUGCUUAAUAAUAGUGGUUCCUUGUCUUUUGAAUUGGAACCUAAUUAUUUCUUAUUUUGUCAUACUAUUAUUACUAGAAUAAUCAGAUUGUUGCCUAGCCUUGGUGAUUGUUAAGAAAAACACAAGGUAAACAAAUCAGAUUUUGAUUUUGUAAACUUUUGGCCUGUUGGGAAAAGGUCUAGGGUACUUAUUGAACAAAAUAGAUUGAGUUGGGAUGUGAAAAUUGCUCAAGUUACAUAUUACUUUAAGGGGAAAUUAACUACAUUCACAUUAAGAAAAUUGGUUGAAUGCCCUUAUAUGUUAAAUAUGGAAAGAAUGAAUUAACAGGAUUCAAAAGGCACAAAAACAGAGCUGGACGGAGUCUUGAUUACAUGUUGAGGUACUUUGUUCACUACUUGGGAUUUAUAUUACUCAAAUAUAUUAUUCUUUUGUAUUUUAUUUUAUCUUUCUUGAUGUAUGCUCUGCUUUUGCAUAUUGAAUUGGCAUAAAAUUGUGUUUUUCUUUGUUAAGAACCCAAUGUUGUUUUCUAUUGGUAAACAUGGUUGUUUUCAUAGAUAUAGACAUUCAGUGCUUCAAGUUGUAUAUUCUGUUCACAAUAGUGAAGGUAGGCUUAUCGGGUGCUCCAUUUUGUUUGAGUGAGAUUCUAUUGAUAUUAUGAACAUGACGCUUGCUUGCAGUUGUUGAAGUCCUAUAUACUUUUAGCAACAUGUUGAAAUUUAUUCAUGUUGUUAAUGGAAAAUACAAGAAUUGGAUGUUGGAAAAGAUGGAAAAGUUAGCAUGUGGUGCUAUUUAAAUUUAUUCAUUUUCGUCAUUUGGGAUUUUCAAUGUUUGCCCUUAUUGUACAAUAUGGUUUAUCUAUUAAAUUCAUAAUCUUAUGAAUACUAUUGCCAUUGCAAGUGGUAUAGAAAUAUGCUUGCAGAAACAUGGCAUGGCAAAGCUACCAUUUAAAUUUUCAGCUUUGAUUAUUUUUUUGUUGUUGUCAAAUAAGGAAGCGUGAGAAUUUAACUCCAUAGACUUGAACCAUUCCUAAAUUGGUGUGUGUAAGUAGUUUAGUUGGGCCCAAGGCCUUGUGGCCUCUAGCAGCGUGGGGCCAAGACAUAAGUGCUUGCAAGGAGAGGUUGGGGGUUCAAUUUUCUUAGGUGCUAAUCUAAAAACUAACCAUUGACAUAGUUUAGUUGGAGUUCAAAGGAACUCCUGUUGAUUAGGGGCACAUGAAGCAUUGUUCGAUUCUAGUUUAGGAAUUGUUGUCUAAUGUCUUUUGGUUUUGAGAAUUUGUUUAUACUUGUAACAUGGUUUCAUCAUCUGAAGCUCUUCUCAGUUUGCCACAUUCUGAUUUUAUCUAUCUCUACUUGCUUCAGAUUCAUCUGCAUGCGGGUACAUAUACAGUACUCAAUGUGACCUUCAUAAGGGCCCCAUCUCAUGCUUGUUGAAGGUGAAUGUUCCUCUUGUAUUUAUAGGAGAUAAUGUUUCACUUGGACUAAAAAAAGGUAUGGUGAAAAUGGAGGUUUUCUUCAACCUUAUGCGUAAGUUGUGAAGUUUUUUUUAGUUAGACAACUUGUGAAGCUUUGCUUUGUCUUAUCUUUUUAAACUCUCAAGCAACUUGGGUGUUUAUCAUUUUUGGUGAGAAAUUAUCUAUUGUUAGGGUUAUAUAUACUACAAUUGUGAGUGGUGUGAUGAUGAUUGAUGUCUAAGGUUUUGUUAAUAAUUAUAUGGCCUUGGCAAAAUUUUUUGUUUUCAAUUUUAUGGAAUUUUUUUUUCCUAUAGGGCAAAUUGAUAGAACUUGCUGUUUGAUGUAUAGUUGGUGUUAUUUUAGAAGCAAAGGUUUUCUACUAUUGGCUUCUUCAUGCAUGGAUCUCACACACUUCUUAAUAAUAAUGUUCUUCUGUAUGCGAGUUUUAUUUGUAGAGUUGUUAACUAUUGAUUUUUAUGUGCAGAGGCUUAAGAAGAAGACUCACUUCUUCUAAUCCGAGAGAAUUACAAAUUAAUUCAUUUCCUAAUUAUUUUAUUUCAUUUUUUGGAGGCUGCUGAAUACUUUCUUAAACUAUUUCUUUGCUAUGCUUUACCUGACCUAAUUUUGCUGCCGAGUGAAAUCUUAUUAUGUUAUCUUCACUUUCAGUGCAUCAUGUUAACCCAUUAAAAGUAUUCUAAUUUAGUUUUCUUUUUAUAAUUGUUAUAAUUUGAAAUGUCAAUUUUAUUGAAUAAGUGCUCACUACAAGAUAUUGCAUUUUUGGCGACUAAAUUUUUAGUCACUAAAAGUAAGAUUUUAGUUGCCAAAAAUUUUUUCAGACUAAAUAUUUUGGUCGCCGGAUUUGUCGCGGGAAGAUUGUCGGGGAAGGUAUUGGCGACUAAAAAAUAUUUAGUAGUGAUCAAAUUUUUAGUCGCCAAAAAUAAAGGUAUUGGUGACAAAAAUAAUCUUUAGUCGCUGAAUAAGGAUAAAUUUUCAGCUACUAAAAUAUUUGUCGCCAAAACUUGAAGUAUCUACAGCGAUCAAAAUAUUAGUGGCCAAUAUUUUUUUUAUGUGCAUCUAGCUUUUUUUUAACUACUAAAUGUUUAGUCGCCUAAAGUCUAAUUUUUGUUUAAGCUACUAAGGUUUUAGUUGCCAAAAGUGGUUUUCUCCUUUUUUUUUGGCUACGAAACAUUUAGUUGCCAAAAGAUUUAAUUCUUUUUAGCUACUAACUAUUUAGUCGCUAAAAAUAUUUAACUCUAUUUUUGGCUACCAAUUGUUUAGUCGUCACAAACAUCAUUUUGUUUAUUUUUUUGUUUCAAUUAAUUUGUCUACAACCUAUAUGUAUCCACCACAACCUAUAAUAAGUAUAACAACAAAACAAUAUAUAUAUAUAUAUAUAAUAACACAUAUUUCACUUACAACCAUCAAACAAAAAAGAAUAACUUAUAAUUUUAACUUCUAUACAAACCAAGUAUAUAUUCCAAUUGGAAAUAAUAACUUCAUACAUAACAAAUAAGUAUACAAAAAUCAUGUCCUCUUUGUACAAAAAUAUAUGUACUACUAUGCGAAAUGACCAUUUGGCAUGGUACAUAUUACCAUGGUAAUCUGUACCGCGACAAAAGGUAAUCUAUAAAUCAUGACAACAAAUACAAAUUUGAUGUCAAAAGUAUUUUGUACCCCACCAAAAGUUAUAUGUACGAUUUAUCCAAAUUCUACACAAAAAGCAGAGGACGACAAAAAAGUGGGAUAGUUCAAAAGUGUAAAUUAUCCUCCGACACAAAAAUAGAAGAUCCACAUGUCUAUGCCAAAAUUCAUCUAUAAAACAAAAAUUACACCCAUUAGCUCCAUAUAGCAUUUGAAUCUUAUUUCUAUGCCAAAAAAAGUUAUUAGAUCUGUAAAGGGAUUUUUUUUUUAAUUAUUUUUGGUUGAGGUGUAUAUGUAGUUUCAUCCUUGCAAUCAUAAUAUUUUGAAAAUGAAAUUAACAUUACUGAAAUGUUAAGAAUCUAAAUAACACAAAGUGCACAGAGUACAAGUCCAAUUCGCCUCUAAAAAAAUGACAACCAAUGUAAGGUUGUGCAGCAUAUAUUUCCAGCAGUAAUGAGGAAAAAUUUAGCCCCCAAAAAAUUACAAUUAAUGUAAGGUUGUGAAGCAUAUUCAAUAGUAAUGAGAAAAAAUUUAGCCCCUAAAAAAUGACAAUUAUGUAAGGUUGUGCAACAUAUUCAACAAUUAUGAGAAAAAAUUUAGCCCUUGAAAAAUGACAAUCAAUGUAAGGUUGUGCAGCAUAUUCAGCAGUAAUGACAUAAAAUUUCUCUGUGAAAUUACUUGGCAAUGCUUAUUUGUCAAACCAGAAUGUGAUUAAAGGUCAACCAUAAGGUUAAAUUGGGCCUACAAAUCAGGUAUGUUUCUCUUCAGCUUGGUUCUUUAUGACUCAGUUUGGUUGUCACAUUUAGCAAAAAUGUCACGUUGUUGAAUAAAUGUUUUAAUGUACUUAGAGAUCAUUGAAAUGGUUUUGCUUAUUGCAUAUAAGCUAUGAAAAUGCAAUAAAUUAGGCAAUUGAUUAGUCAAUCCAAACCGCCUAGAAUCUUAUAAAUGGACCUAUCUAUAUGAUCAUUUUCAUCAUUGAAAUGGUUUGGCGUUGCUUUACAUUUUCGCCCCUCAAACGGCCUUUUUUGACUAAGUUUAAGUUGUUUUUCACUGAAACUCCCAACUACAUGUGCUAAUUACAUCCCGCCUGUCCCCAAAUGUCCUAUUUGUCACGAGGAAGCUACUUGUGACAUCCAUAGAGGGAUUGCUGCUUUGCUUUUUUGGCCUCGAACGACCUUUUUCGACUAAAUUUAAGGUGUUUUUCACGCCAAUUCCCAAUCUACGUGUGCUAAUUACAUCUUGUCUGUCCCCACAGGUCCUAUUUGUCACGAGGAACCUACACGUGACAUCCAUAGAGGGGUUUGGGGGCUGCCUUGCAUUUUCGCCCUCGAACGGCCUUUUUCAACUAAUUAUACGGCAUUUUUCACAUCAACUCCCAACCUACGUGUGCUAAUUACAUCUUGUCUGUCCUUAUAGAUCCUAUUUGUCACAAGGAAGCUACCCGUGACAUCUAUAGAGGGGUUCGGGGGCUGCUUUGUAUUUUCAGCCCCAAACGGCCUUUUUUGACUAAGUUUACGGCGUUUUCUAUGCCAACUCCCAACCUACGUAUGCUAAUUACAUCUCGUCUGUUCCCACAGGUCUUAUUUUUCAUGAUGAAGCUACCUGAUACAUCCAUAAUGUGGUUCGAGGGCUGAUUUGCAUUUUCUCUCUCGAACGGCAUUUUUUGACUAAGUUUAAGUUUUUUUUUUUACUCAAACUCCCAACCUAUGUGUGCUAAUUACAUUCCGUCUGUCCCUACAAGUCAUAUUUGUCACGAUAAAGCUACCCGUUACAUCCAAAGAGCCUUCUAACAUGAAAUUGUCAGUGUGUUAUAUUGAUGCUAUUUACAGUAGAUUUUUCGCUUGCAGCAACCAAAACUUGCACAACAUGAGUCAAACGGCUAUGUGAAGGUCAAGCAUCAGCCAUUGUGUUGAAGGUUCAGAAUUGGCAGAAGCAAGGAUCUUAUCACACUGAUCAGCAGUGAAAAUAUCUGGUUAUGCUUGGUGAUGAAUACUUGAGUGGUUCUAUGUAGGGUAUGCGGGUGUGAAAGAGAGCUUGUGUGUGGAAAUUUGCCCCUUUUGGGGUAGGUCGGAUUGCCAUCUCCAACCAUCACUCCACCCCUCGUCCAAAGGCAAAAAAGAAGGGGAGAACAACAACUACAACUGAAAUAAUUUGUUUAAUAAGAACCAACAUCUGGAAUAAAUUAAAUGCAACAGACUUUUCCUUUA
Molecule: non-coding RNA, 6817 nt
Organism: Camellia sinensis
Lineage: Eukaryota; Viridiplantae; Streptophyta; Magnoliopsida; Ericales; Theaceae
Source: RefSeq, a predicted model, not a curated record